RNAcentral lists this small RNA (127 nucleotides) under Marmota monax (woodchuck). The record is from RNAcentral. Lineage: Eukaryota; Metazoa; Chordata; Mammalia; Rodentia; Sciuridae.
GCCAGGCGUGGUGGUGCACACCUGUAAUCCUAGUGGCUCGGGAGCCUGAGGCAGGAGAAUCAUGAGUUCAAAGCCAGCCUCAGCAACUUAUGGAGGCCUUAAACAACUCAGCUAGACCCUGUCUCUA